This 253-nucleotide ribosomal RNA is filed under the name uncultured bacterium. RNAcentral's name for it is "partial 16S ribosomal RNA". It matches the Rfam family "Bacterial small subunit ribosomal RNA", at positions 524 to 776 of the family's 1533-position model. The record is from RNAcentral.
GACGAACCGUACGAACGUUAUUCGGAAUCACUGGGCUUAAAGGGCGCGCAGGCGGCUCGACAAGUCAGAUGUGAAAGCCCCGGGCUCAACCUGGGAACGGCAUUUGGGACUGUCGGGCUAGAGUUCGGGAGAGGUGGGUGGAAUUCCCAGUGUAGAGGUGAAAUUCGUAGAUAUUGGGAAGAACACCGGUGGCGAAGGCGGCUCACUGGACCGAGACUGACGCUGAGGCGCGAAAGCGUGGGGAGCAAACAGG